GAGAAGAACGUAGCGAAAUGCGAUAAGUAAUGUGAAUUGCAGAAUUCAGUGAAUCAUCGAAUCUUUGAACGCACCUUGCGCCCUUUGGCCAUUCCGAAGGGCAUGCCUGUUUGAGUAUCAUGAACACCUCAACUCUCAUGGCUCGCCAUGAUGAGCUUGGAUUUGGGGGUCUUGCUGGCCUGUGGUCGGCUCCUCUCAAAUGGAUCAGCUUGCCAGUGUUUGGUGGCAUCACAGGUGUGAUAACUAUCUGCGCUUGUGGUUUUCCAUCAGAUAACCUUCAGUGAUGGAGGUUCGCUGGAGCUCAUAAACGUCUCCCCUAAGCGGGGACAGCCCUUUGAAUGUUUGAUCUCAAAUCAGGUAGGACUACCCGCUGAACUUAAGCAUAUCAAUAAGCGGAGGA
This 400-nucleotide unclassified non-coding RNA is filed under the name soil metagenome. Its description in RNAcentral is "partial contains 5.8S ribosomal RNA, internal transcribed spacer 2, and large subunit ribosomal RNA". The stretch from base 3 to 120 matches the Rfam family "5.8S ribosomal RNA", at positions 38 to 154 of the family's 154-position model. The record is from RNAcentral.